RNAcentral lists this ribosomal RNA (464 nucleotides) under uncultured bacterium. RNAcentral's name for it is "partial 16S ribosomal RNA". It matches the Rfam family "Bacterial small subunit ribosomal RNA", at positions 338 to 795 of the family's 1533-position model. The record is from RNAcentral.
CCUACGGGAGGCAGCAGUAGGGAAUUUUCGUCAAUGGGCGCAAGCCUGAACGAGCAAUGCCGCGUGAACGAGGAAGGUCUUCGGAUCGUAAAGUUCUGUUGAAGGGGAAAAAGAGCGGAGAGAGGAAAUGCUUUCUGAUUGAUAUUACCCUUCGAGGAAGUCACGGCUAACUACGUGCCAGCAGCCGCGGUAAUACGUAGGUGGCGAGCGUUAGCCGGAAUGAUGGGGCGUAAAGGGUGCGUAGGCGGCCUGCUAAGUCUGGAGUGAAAGGUGCCGGCUCAACCGGUACAGGCUCUGGAAACUGGCGGGCUAGAGAGCAGGAGGGGGCGGUGGAACUCCAUGUGUAGCGGUAAAAUGCGUAGAUAUAUGGAAGAACACCAGUGGCGAAGGCGGCCGCCUGGCCUGUUACUGACGCUGAGGCACGAAAGCGUGGGGAGCAAAUAGGAUUAGAUACCCGAGUAGUC